Molecule: unclassified non-coding RNA, 215 nt
Filed under: Hevea brasiliensis (rubber tree)
Lineage: Eukaryota; Viridiplantae; Streptophyta; Magnoliopsida; Malpighiales; Euphorbiaceae
Source: RNAcentral
CGGCUGUGGUAUUGGCUGAGCCCGGCGGCACUGAGGAUGCCAUGUCGCCAAAAUACGUCUGCUAAAGCACUCAAUGCAGCGAAACAGAGAGUCAGGAGAGCUGUGGUUCGGCUAUAAGCGCCCCACGGUGAAAAUAGAAAAACGACGCCGAUGAAUGCGACUGUUGAAUAUAUUUUUCUAACGAGACAAAAGCGAAAUCGGUCCAGUUGGCUUUU